Molecule: transfer RNA, 69 nt
Filed under: Marmota monax (woodchuck)
Lineage: Eukaryota; Metazoa; Chordata; Mammalia; Rodentia; Sciuridae
Description: tRNA.Ala
Source: RNAcentral
GGGGCUGUAACUCAGUGGUAGAAUGCUUGCUUAGCAUGCAUGAGGCAAUGGGUUCUAUCCUCAGCACCA